UACCAGCACCCCGAGUGGUCGGGACGUUUAUUGGGCCUAAAGCAUCCGUAGCCGGUUCUACAAGUCUUCCGUUAAAUCCAGCUGCUUAACAGAUGGGCUGCGGAGGAUACUAUAAGACUAGGAGGCAGGAGAGGCAAGCGGUACUCAGUGGGUAGGGGUAAAAUCCGUUGAUCCAUUGAAGACCACCAGUGGCGAAGGCGGCUUGCCAGAAUGCGCUCGACGGUGAGGGAUGAAAGCUGGGGGAGCAAACAGG
This 253-nucleotide ribosomal RNA is filed under the name uncultured bacterium. RNAcentral's name for it is "partial 16S ribosomal RNA". It matches the Rfam family "Archaeal small subunit ribosomal RNA", at positions 474 to 727 of the family's 1478-position model. The record is from RNAcentral.